Molecule: long non-coding RNA, 384 nt
Filed under: Physcomitrium patens
Lineage: Eukaryota; Viridiplantae; Streptophyta; Bryopsida; Funariales; Funariaceae
Description: long non-coding RNA (PPAT_LNC001848)
Source: RNAcentral
UUGAUUUAGGAUUUAAGAUUUGGUUAAAGAUUGAUUUAGGGUUUAGGAUUUAGAUUACGAUUUGAUUUACGAUUUAGGAUUUGAUUAGGAUUUGAUUUAGGGUUUUAUUUAGGAUUGGGGUUUGGUUUAAGUUUUGUUUAGGUUUUGAUUUAGGAUUUAGGAUUUUAUUAGGAUUUAAGAUUCAAUUAGUUUUGGCCUAAAGUUUGAAUGAAAUUCAAUAGGAUUUUAACUAGAAUUAAAUUAAGAUUGAAUUGAGAUGUAUUUGAGUGAUAUUUGUAAUCCUUCUAAUAUUUCUUUAAGAAUUCUUAUUAUUUCUUUGAAAUUUCUUUGAGGUUUUUUUUAAUUUGAUUAAGCUUGCUUAGCAUUAUUAUGGUCUAAUUAGAG